AAGAAGCAAUACCGUGAGGUGGAGCAAAACUCAAAAAUAGAUCUCAGUUCGGACUGUAGGCUGCAACUCGCCUACACGAAGUUGGAAUUGCUAGUAAUCGUGGAUCAGCAUGCCACGGUGAAUACGUUCCCGGGCCUUGUACACACCGCCCGUCACACCAUGAGAGUUGGCAAUACCCAACGUACGUGAUCUAACCCGCAAGGGAGGAAGCGUCCUAAGGUAGGGUCAGCGAUUGGGGUGAAGUCGUAACAAGGUAGC
RNAcentral lists this ribosomal RNA (258 nucleotides) under uncultured bacterium. RNAcentral describes it as "partial 16S ribosomal RNA". It matches the Rfam family "Bacterial small subunit ribosomal RNA", at positions 1244 to 1500 of the family's 1533-position model. The record is from RNAcentral.